UGGGGAAUAUUGCACAAUGGGCGCAAGCCUGAUGCAGCCAUGCCGCGUGUAUGAAGAAGGCCUUCGGGUUGUAAAGUACUUUCAGCGGGGAGGAAGGGAGUAAAGUUAAUACCUUUGCUUAUUGACGUUACCCGCAGAAGAAGCACCGGCUAACUCCGUGCCAGCAGCCGCGGUAAUACGGAGGGUGCAAGCGUUAAUCGGAAUUACUGGGCGUAAAGCGCACGCAGGCGGUUUGUUAAGUCAGAUGUGAAAUCCCCGGGCUCAACCUGGGAACUGCAUCUGAUACUGGCAAGCUUGAGUCUCGUAGAGGGGGGUAGAAUUCCAGGUGUAGCGGUGAAAUGCGUAGAGAUCUGGAGGAAUACCGGUGGCGAAGGCGGCCCCCUGGGCGAAGACUGACGCUCAGGUGCGAAAGCGUGGGGAGCAAACAGG
This 429-nucleotide ribosomal RNA is filed under the name Chloroflexota bacterium. RNAcentral describes it as "Chloroflexi bacterium partial 16S ribosomal RNA". It matches the Rfam family "Bacterial small subunit ribosomal RNA", at positions 355 to 776 of the family's 1533-position model. Lineage: Bacteria; Bacillati; Chloroflexota. The record is from RNAcentral.